CCGGGCCGGGAUCGGGACGCGGAGCCGCAGCGGGCCCGGGCCGGGAUCGGGACGCGGAGCCGCAGCGGGCCCGGGCCGGGAUCGGGACGCGGAGCCGCAGCGGGCCCGGGCCGGGCGCUCCCGGCAGGACCCGCGGCCGCUGUGCCGGGAGCGCAGGCGCGGAGCGGGAGCGGCAAUGGCGCAGCCCGGGGAGCGGCGGGGCCGGGCCGGGGACAGCGGGGGAGACUGCGGCGGGCUCGGAGAAUCGUCUGGGGCUGACACAAAGACCAGGAACCUUUGAGAUGGAAAGAGCCGGAGCAAGUUGAUGUGAGAAAGGAAAGUUAAAGAUGGGAAACGUUCAGGCAAGAGGUGCCGAAAAGAACCGGAGUUUCUGAUCUGAAGUCUCCAACUGAAAAUCCCCUGUGGAUUGUCACCGGUCCAGUUUUCAUGGACUGCUCACCUUGGCCAGGAGUGUCCAAUCCUGCUGGAAAUGCACUGCACCAGGAUGGCAUUUUCGUUUCGUGCUGGUGAAGACCCUCUGGGUGACCCCCAGGCACUGGAAGGGCUGGCCUGGGCUCCCAGGGCACUAAUUCCAGGAGUUGUGUUUUUGGGAACAGCACAGGAGCCUUUCCCUCACUCAUAGGAGCAGCCAGUGCCUCCUUUCAUCCACAAAUGCCCAGGAUGGAACACAAGGAAAGGAACAGCAAUGUGGAAAUGCCCCACACUGGGAGUUGAUGGUGCUCUGGAUCACAUUUUGGAUUUAUAAUGUCAAAGGGGCAGUGUGGAGGGGUUUUUCUCUCUCUGCUGUUCAUUGCUGUACUCACUGCCCUUGUUGCUCUCACUGUUACUGUGUGUUGCCAUUAACAUUAAAUUAAAUUUGUCUUGGUUUCCAUGAUUAUUAAACUGUUCUGAGCUGGA
Prinia subflava (tawny-flanked prinia) is the source of this 897-nucleotide long non-coding RNA. RefSeq lists it as uncharacterized. The record is from RefSeq and is a predicted model, not a curated record. Lineage: Eukaryota; Metazoa; Chordata; Aves; Passeriformes; Cisticolidae. The transcript has 3 exons.